AACGAACGCUGGCGGCAUGCCUAACACAUGCAAGUCGAACGAGACCUUCGGGUCUAUUGGCGCACGUGUGCGUACCGCGUGGUAACCUGCCUUUAGGUUCGGAAUACCUCAGUGAAAUUUGAGCUCAUACCGCAUGAUCUCUUCGCACCAAAGAUUUAUCACCUUUGGAUGGGCCCGCGUUGGAUUCGUUGGUUGGUGGUGUAAAUGCCUACCAAUGACAUGAUGCAUAGCUGGUCUGUUAGGAGGAUCAACCACACUGGAAAUGCGACACGGCCCAGAACGGGACGCAGCAGAGGAGAAGAGUAUAUAAUAGGAGGGAGCAAGGUGUAAUAAAGCAAUGCGCGGGAAGUGAUGAAGGCGUUAGGGUUGUAAAGCUGUUUUACCCGAGAUGAGAAUGACAGUAACGGGUGAAGAAGCACCGGCUAACUACGUG
This 433-nucleotide ribosomal RNA is filed under the name uncultured bacterium. Its description in RNAcentral is "partial 16S ribosomal RNA". It matches the Rfam family "Bacterial small subunit ribosomal RNA", at positions 29 to 507 of the family's 1533-position model. The record is from RNAcentral.